GUGCUUGCUUCAGCAGCACAUAAUCUAAAAUUGGAACUAUACAGAGAAGAUUUGCAUGGUCCCUGCUCAAGGAUGACAUGCAAAACAUGAAGCAUUCUAUAUUUGU
Molecule: small nuclear RNA, 106 nt
Organism: Suncus etruscus (white-toothed pygmy shrew)
Lineage: Eukaryota; Metazoa; Chordata; Mammalia; Eulipotyphla; Soricidae
Source: RefSeq, a predicted model, not a curated record